CGCAAGGUGGCGAGCGGCUGUCUGGUCUGUACUGACGCUGAGGCUCGAAAGUAUGGGUAGCAAACAGGAUUAGAUACCCUGGUAGUCCAUACCGUAAACGAUGAAUGCUAAGUGUUGGAGGGUUUCCGCCCUUCAGUGCUGCAGCUAACGCAUUAAGCAUUCCGCCUGGGGAGUACGGCCGCAAGGCUGAAACUCAAAGGAAUUGACGGGGGCCCGCACAAGCGGUGGAGCAUGUGGUUUAAUUCGAAGCUACGCGAAGAACCUUACCAGGUCUUGACAUACUAUGCAAAUCUAAGAGAUUAGACGUUCCCUUCGGGGACAUGGAUACAGGUGGUGCAUGGUUGUCGUCAGCUCGUGUCGUGAGAUGUUGGGUUAAGUCCCGCAACGAGCGCAACCCUUAUUAUCAGUUGCCAGCAUUAAGUUGGGCACUCUGGUGAGACUGCCGGUGACAAACCGGAGGAAGGUGGGGAUGACGUCAAAUCAUCAUGCCCCUUAUGACCUGGGCUACACACGUGCUACAAUGGAUGGUACAACGAGUUGCGAACUCGCGAGAGUAAGCUAAUCUCUUAAAGCCAUUCUCAGUUCGGAUUGUAGGCUGCAACUCGCCUACAUGAAGUCGGAAUCGCUAGUAAUCGCGGAUCAGCAUGCCGCGGUGAAUACGUUCCCGGGCCUUGUACACACCGCCCGUCACACCAUGAGAGUUUGUAACACCCAAAGUCGGUGGGGGUAACCUUUUAAGAACCAGCCGCCUAAAGGGGGACAGAAGAUUAAGGUGAAAUCCUAACAAGGAACCCUAAA
RNAcentral lists this ribosomal RNA (798 nucleotides) under Lactobacillus sp. RNAcentral describes it as "bacterial SSU rRNA". It matches the Rfam family "Bacterial small subunit ribosomal RNA", at positions 706 to 1505 of the family's 1533-position model. Lineage: Bacteria; Bacillati; Bacillota; Bacilli; Lactobacillales; Lactobacillaceae. The record is from RNAcentral.